GGUGGUAUUUGCUCAGUUAGUGAGCUAGAAGCUGUGAGGCCUCACCCACAUUCCCUUUUCUGGGCCAGCACUCCAACCCCAGCCGCCAGCGAUCAAGGCUGCCUCUUCUCUGGGAUGUCAUCCUUGGCUGGCAGGAGCCAGUUUGCUCCAGGUUUUUGCUGUCCUGCCCCUGCCCCCAUGACUGAUGCAGAGGCACAGAAGGGGCCCCUGUAUCUCCGGAGGGGUGAAUCUGCCAGGGACACCUGCUGCGUGGGACAGGCUAAGACCAGACUUCCGGAAAUCCUCCCCGGUCAGCUGCAUCUCCUUCCAAGCUUUGCUUCCCUACUUUGCCUUGCAGGUCCUUCCAGAAGAGCACUCCCCAUCAACCCGCGGGCAGCUGAAUUCCCACCUCAGACUCUGCUCCAAGGGCGCCGUGUCUACGGAGGCGACGCUGAGGAUGGCUUAUCAGGUUGGGUCACUCACCCCACCACGAGGACCUGACCUUAAAUUCUCGGUGCAUCCUAAGUGUGACCCAGAGACCGCCUGCGUCAGAAGCACCUAGAAUGCUGUGGAAGCACCUUCAAUGCAGAUUCCUGGGCCCAACCCUGGUUCCACUGAAUCGGGGUCAGCUGGUGGGCCCAGGAAUUGGCAUUUUCAACAGCUUCCAAUUGUACACCAGAAUACUCAAGCUUGUGACUCCCCUGCUCACUGUUUUCUUCAUCCUUUCUCACUUCCUGCUGAGUACAUAUGUAUUUUACUACUUUUAGAGAUACUUUUACAAUAAAGGCAGUCUUGAAAGUGUGUCCGGAAUUGGUGGGUUCUUGGUCUCGCUGACUUCAAGAAUGAAGGCGCGGACCUGAGUGUUACAGUUCUUAAAGGCGGCACGUUGGGAGUUGUUCGUUUCUCCCGGUGGGCUCGUGGUCUCGCCGGCUUCAGAAGUGAAGCUGCAGACCUUCGCGGUGGGUGUUACAGCCCAUAGAGGCAACGAGUUCGGAAUUGUUCCUUCCUCCCGGUGGGCUCCUGGUCUCGAUAGCUUACAGGAACGAAGCUGCAGACCUUAGCGGUGGAUGCUACAGCUCAUAAAGGUAGUGCAGACCCAAAGACCAAGAGAACAAAACUACCACAACGCAGAACAGAACCCUAGCGGGUUGCCGCUGCUGGCUCAGUCUCCCCCACCCCCAGUUUGUUCUCGGGACAAACCAUCGGUCUAGGAUGAACUCCGUUUUCCACUGGAAGGUCUCAAGAGGCUAAAGGCACCCCACGGGCUUCUCCCCGAGGAAGGGACUGAGGACAGAGGAGGGCCACGGUUGCAAUGAGGACAGCUCCGGCUCAAAAGCGUCCCUGGACCCUUGACUCUCAGCUUGUCUUGUCUUCCUUAAUAAAUUUCAGUUUGCGGGGGAGGGGAGAGGGAUAGCAUUAGGAGAUAUACCUAAUGCUAAAUGACGAGUUAAUGGG
This 1434-nucleotide long non-coding RNA is filed under the name Homo sapiens (human). Its description in RNAcentral is "non-protein coding lnc-ACTR3B-5:1". The record is from RNAcentral. Lineage: Eukaryota; Metazoa; Chordata; Mammalia; Primates; Hominidae.